UCCGACUGCAGUUUGUGAGUAAGACAUAUAGCUUUGAUUAAUACUGACACCGACUGAUAUGAAGGAGCUUGAUGUGCUGCAGCCGAGACCCCAAAGUAGGGGAGAUGCUCCAUUAUGUCGGUUUGCUGAUUCAGGGAAUCUGCUCCAGCCGAGCUGUGUUUUAUUGGAGCAGAGACACAGAUGCUAAAUCAGAAGGACGGCUUUGUUAUAAUACACACAUUCCAACCUACAGGAGAAAACAAUUAAACAUCCAUCAGGCAUGGAUGGAUUAGAGGUUAAUGAGAGAUGCAUGCAGCUGUUAAUGUUGCACCAGAGGAUAAAAGAUCACAGGGUUCAAACGAGGGCCCGGCAGAACAAAGUCACUCAGGAGGAAAGAGAAGAAAAAAAAAAAAAAAGAAGAAGAAGCCUGCUCCUGCAGUGAGCAGAACAUGCUGCACUGCUGUGGAGCAUGGCCAAGAUGCUGAGAGCUCCAAUGCACACAAUUCACACUGAAGGGAAGCCAUCCCACAGUGCACUGCAACCAUCAUUAAAGAACGCAUGACAAGCGUACCACCAAGUGCGCCAUUGUGAGGCACAGCGAUGCAGGACAGGAAGUUCAACGUUAUUGGCUGACGGGAUGAUGGAUGUUCUCACUCUCUCAGAGUUGUGCACCGCGCAAAAAGACUAAUUUAGUUGGUCAAGAUAUUUCUAUGUUUUUGCGCACUGCAGAUUAGCACCACCAAGGCAUCUUGGGUAAUGAAGUGUGAGUAAAUUAAGGACUUUUCCUUUUUACUUAAGAGAGAAUUGAAACAAGGACAUAAACUCACCACCAGAGUUCAUCAUCGCUAACCGUUAAUCAACGAAGCGUGCACGAGAACGAUGCGGCGGUUUACAGGUCAUUUCAAACGUUUCUCUCGCUUUGACAUAUCUGGUGAAAGAGACAUUUGUUUAACUUAUUGAUGUGUGUUGUUCUUUUUUUUAACCUCAAAUGUUUUUUAGCAUGCUUCAUUUGCAAUCGGCCGCCCAGACAUUAAAAAAAACAAAGAGAUUUUGUGACACGUUGAAAGUACACCAAAGAACACGGCCUUGGAGAUUGGAGAGCAUUAAUUUCUGAUUAAUAAGAAUAUGUGUGUGUGUGUGCGUGUGUGUGUGUGUGUGUGUAUAAGGAGAGGGUGUCAGAUAUGUCCUUUACAAUGAUGAUCCUUCAGGGUGUCAGUAGAGCAAAAGGAGGGUAGGUUUGCUGAGGAGGACAGAGAGGAGAAGAGGUUAGACUCUCUCUCUCUCUUUCUCUCUCUCUCUCACACACACACACACACACACACACAAACACCACACAUACGCACACACACUGACCCCGGAGGUUGCAUUCCCCUUUAAAAGUCCCAUCCCACUCAGAUACGCAGAGCUCAUGCAGGAUCUGCUGCGGCAGUGGGGGAACACUGCUGAGCUGUGCAGUUUGUGCUGCCAGCAAGCGUGCUCUGAAGAGGAGGGGGAGCAGGCGCACACCGGAGGAGGAGGAGGAGUGAUGGAGAGAGAGGGAGAGAGAGAGUGCAAACAAUGUCAUUCUGUUCAGGAGGUAAUGCUGCAGUCAACUUUGCCACGCCAUGAGAGCACAUCAGCAGCAGCCAAGAGGCUCAGAGAGAGUGCAGAGAAGUUUUCCUCCUCGCCUGCCGGGGUGUCUUCAGCUGCAGAGAGCCAUCUGAGCAGGAUCAUGCAGCAGGUCCGGCCGUUGGUGGCGUGUUGGAACAUGCCUUGACUUGUCGAGCUGACUGAGUGAAGCAGAGAGAGCUGCAUAUACACAGACAGACGGAGAGAGAGAGAGAGAGAGAGAGAGGGGGAGAGACUCCUGGUCAACUGUCUGCUGGAGUGAUGUGACCCACACUCACACACAGACACAGACAGAGACAGAGACAGAGACAGAGCCCUGCAGCAGCCCGGGACCAACUGAUGCCAACACUGCUGGAUGACGGAGCUGCUGCUGCUGCUGCUGCUGCUGCUGCUGCUGCUGCUGCUGAUGCCGCCUCACUGCCUGAGUCACCAGCACAGAACCAGCCGUGGACAGUGAGAGCUGAGACCCGAGGGACACAUCAGCAGGACACGGGUGCAGUAUGUGAGUGUUUCUCUGGCAGUGUCUUAGCUGGUUGUUGUGAGGAGUGAGAACGAAGCAAUCAGCAAGUAUACUGCCGCAGAAAUUCUUCGCAAUAAGAGGCCCCGGGACUGCAGCCGUCACUGGGAGCAGAAGGGAGAGCGGCUGGGAAGAGACAAAUCAGCAGCAUGUCAAAGACAGGGAUCCUGCUGCUACUGUAAGUUUUUACAUGUGUGCUGACACAGGAGAAAAUGGAGCGGAGCUGGAGAGACCGUGAAGAGAGUCACAGAUGAAACACCGACUGACUGAGAGCAGGAUCUGUUUUCAUUUACUGCCUCUGAAAUAUUUACAGAUGGAUUAAAAGCAUCAAAGUUCAAGCAACAUGCUUAUACGUAUACGCGACUCUCUGCUGCCAUCUUGUGACGAAAAAGUGUUUUUCGUUCAGUAUGUAUAAUUUCUUCACAGGACUGGUAUAUAACGACCUAUUUCAUAUUCUAGUUGCACGUGUACAUGGUUUAGGUGUUCAACAUUUUUGUCUCAAGAAUUUACCCUGACGGUUAUGACGUCAUUGGUGUGAAUGAUUUGUUGUGAAAAUACCUCUUUGAUAUUAAUAAAACUUGGAAUAUG
Molecule: long non-coding RNA, 2692 nt
Organism: Cynoglossus semilaevis (tongue sole)
Lineage: Eukaryota; Metazoa; Chordata; Actinopteri; Pleuronectiformes; Cynoglossidae
Exons: 3
Source: RefSeq, a predicted model, not a curated record